CAGACCUCAGCUCAAGAGGAACUCUACCAACACAAACACCUGCUCCAACAACUGCAAGCAGCGUUGUGGGGUUGCUUCUGAAGGCAUCAGCUUUGGGGCUAAAUGAAACUGCCGUUCAAGAGGAGGUGUUGAAACAGCUUGAGGCCGUGCUGACAGCAAGAGGGCUACAGGCGUCUGGUCUACAGGUCACGGCAGUGGUCAGGAGGCCAGGAGAGACAUGAACACACACACGCACAUACG
Engraulis encrasicolus (European anchovy) is the source of this 240-nucleotide long non-coding RNA. RefSeq lists it as uncharacterized. The record is from RefSeq and is a predicted model, not a curated record. Lineage: Eukaryota; Metazoa; Chordata; Actinopteri; Clupeiformes; Engraulidae. The transcript has 3 exons.